UGGGAGAUGAAGGAGCCUU
Molecule: microRNA, 19 nt
Filed under: Zea mays
Lineage: Eukaryota; Viridiplantae; Streptophyta; Magnoliopsida; Poales; Poaceae
Description: zma-miR482-5p
Gene: zma-miR482-5p
Source: miRBase by way of RNAcentral